RNAcentral lists this ribosomal RNA (1380 nucleotides) under uncultured bacterium. RNAcentral's name for it is "bacterial SSU rRNA". It matches the Rfam family "Bacterial small subunit ribosomal RNA". The record is from RNAcentral.
GAACAUGGCUCAAGACGAACGCUGGCGGCGUGCUUAACACAUGCAAGUCGAACGAUGAAGCGGCGCUUGCACCGUGGAUUAGUGGCGAACGGGUUGAGUAAUACGUGAGUCGACCUACCUUUGACUCUGGGAUAAGCCUGGGAAACUGGGUCUAAUACCGGAUACGACCGAUUCUCUGCAUGGGGUGUUGGUGGAAAGCGUUAUGGAGUGGUUUUAGAUGGGCUCACGGCCUAUCAGCUUGUUGGUGAGGUAAUGGCUUACCAAGGCGACGACGGGUAGCCGGCCUGAGAGGGUGACCGGCCACACUGGGACUGAGACACGGCCCAGACUCCUACGGGAGGCAGCAGUGGGGAAUAUUGCACAAUGGGCGCAAGCCUGAUGCAGCGACGCCGCGUGAGGGAUGACGGCCUUCGGGUUGUAAACCUCUGUUAGCAUCGAAGAAGCGAAAGUGACGGUAGGUGCAGAGAAAGCGCCGGCUAACUACGUGCCAGCAGCCGCGGUAAUACGUAGGGCGCGAGCGUUGUCCGGAAUUAUUGGGCGUAAAGAGCUUGUAGGGCGGUUGGUCGCGUCUGCUGUGAAAGGCCGGGGCUUAACUCCGGUUUUGCAGUGGGUACGGGCUAACUAGAGUGCAGUAGGGGAGACUGGAAUUCCUGGUGUAGCGGUGGAAUGCACAGAUAUCAGGAGGAACACCGAUGGCGAAGGCAGGUCUCUGGGCUGUAACUGACGCUGAGAAGCGAAAGCAUGGGGAGCGAACAGGAUUAGAUACCCUGGUAGUCCAUGCCGUAAACGUUGGGCACUAGGUGUGGGGGACAUUCCACGUUUUCCGCGCCGUAGCUAACGCAUUAAGUGCCCCGCCUGGGGAGUACGGCCGCAGGGCUAAAACUCAAAGGAAUUGACGGGGGCCCGCACAAGCGGCGGAGCAUGCGGAUUAAUUCGAUGCAACGCGAAGAACCUUACCAAGGCUUGACAUGCAUUAGAUCGCGUCAGAGAUGGCGUUUCCCUUCGGGGCUGGUGUACAGGUGGUGCAUGGUUGUCGUCAGCUCGUGUCGUGAGAUGUUGGGUUAAGUCCCGCAACGAGCGCAACCCUCGUUCUAUGUUGCCAGCGGUUCGGCCGGGGACUCAUAGGAGACUGCCGGGGUCAACUCGGAGGAAGGUGGGGAUGACGUCAAAUCAUCAUGCCCCUUAUGUCUUGGGCUUCACGCAUGCUACAAUGGCCGGUACAGAGGGUUGCGGUACUGUGAGGUGGAGCUAAUCCCUUAAAGCCGGUCUCAGUUCGGAUUGGGGUCUGCAACUCGACCCCAUGAAGUCGGAGUCGCUAGUAAUCGCAGAUCAGCAACGCUGCGGUGAAUACGUUCCCGGGCCUUGUACACACCGCCCGUC